RNAcentral lists this ribosomal RNA (660 nucleotides) under Triticum aestivum (bread wheat). RNAcentral's name for it is "partial small subunit ribosomal RNA". The record is from RNAcentral. Lineage: Eukaryota; Viridiplantae; Streptophyta; Magnoliopsida; Poales; Poaceae.
AUGGAGUGCACCCUUAAGACUGUGUUUUGGAACGUCCGUGCCCUUCACUCUAGAGCUAAGCGUACCGUAGUCCGCUCUCUAAUUUCUUCGGUUUCCCCGAACAUUAUGUGACUUCAAGAAACGAAGCUCGAUUCCUUUUCGUUGCCCCUCGUUGUUGAGACGCUUGGUCCUUGCUUCUUGGAUUUCUUCUUCCUCCCGGCCAUUGGCACCCGUGGUGUCAUCCUGCUUGCUUGGAACUGCAAUGAGGUUGCUAUCUCCAGCCCCUAUGUUGGCCAACACCACAUCACGACCCUAGUAUCCUCCACCUCCGGCGCGCACCCUUGGUGGAUCAUUAGUGUCUACAGCCCGCAGGAGGACGAUGAGAAGAUCUUAUUCCUCGAGGACCUACAAGACACUUGUGCUUCUUGCGCUGGCCCAUGGCUCCUUGGGGGCGACUUCAGCCUUGUCUCCUCUUCUGUUGAUAAGACUAACGGGCGUAUUAACCGGCGCACCUCCAAUAGGUUCCGCCGCUUCAUCGUCGACAUGGAGCUGCGUGAUGUGUACAUGCAUGGCCGCCGCUACAGCUGGUCCAACGAGAGGGAAUCGCCCACUCUUUUGCGAAACGACCGAUUCCUUUGCACCUCUGAGUGGGAGCUCGCACAGCCACAUUCCAUCCUCUGA